GCUGGGUGUGGUGGUGCAUGCCUGUAAUCCCAGCAGCUCGGGAAGCUGAGGCAGGAGGACCACGAGUUCAAAGACAACCUCAGCAAAAGCGAGGUGCUAAGCAACUCAGUGAAACCUUGUCUCUA
Molecule: small RNA, 125 nt
Filed under: Marmota monax (woodchuck)
Lineage: Eukaryota; Metazoa; Chordata; Mammalia; Rodentia; Sciuridae
Source: RNAcentral